AUUUAUUGAAAACUUAAGUCAGACUGGCUAAGAGCUUCACUUGCAUUACCUCAGUUAAUCCCCUCAAGAUCCGGAAGUGAGGAGGUAUGGGAAGCUAAGUAGCCCUACUCUAUAGAUAGGCCAACUGAGGCAACUAAGGGUUUCCUUAGGUUAGGGAGGUGGACACUGCAAAGUCUUGACGGGGGCAUUCUGCCUUCUGUGCAGGGAUUUCACUCUGGUAGUUUCUGGAGGAAGACCUGAAUGGAAGAGGGCUCACAUUUUAUGCUGUCCAAGAGGGGAAACCUAAGACCCCCAAAGAAGUCUGAGGCCCCCAAACUCAAUGCCAGUUGAGACAAGAGAAAAUACUUCACGUGUAUGAAAACAUACAUCACACUGUCCUGAGGCCUCAAGGGUUUUGAUUGGCUAAAAAGGAAGACAUUUGAAAAACUAGAGUUGCUACUGAGGAGCCUGUCUUCAGGAACAGUUGCUCAAAGUUUAUAGGAAAUGGAAGACAGCACAGAGAAAUUCAGAAGGUUAAAUAACUCUUAAUUACUAUCCCCCUAGGUGAUCACAAGGCGAAGCACUUAUGGAACCCUUUUCUGUGAUAGAAUACUUAAACAGACUUAGCAGCUCACUCCUACCACUUUCAUGAUGCUCAAGGAUGCUAAACUUUCCAUUAAAAUGUCACAAAACAAGAAAUUCCAUUCCCACCCCACCCCAAUACAUAAAUUGGGGAAUAGAGAAUUCAGGUUCUGAUGACCUCACCACCAGCGGUUGCCUGGGAUGGGGGUGGGGAAUCCAUGGAUAAAACCUCUGAGAGUUUUUUGAACAACGUAUGCCAAGGACAAUCUGGUAGGGUCUGUGGUGAUGGUACAUUGGUUGAAGAAGAUGACUUCCUGGAGAGAGGAACAUGGCUCUUUGGUGAGCACAUAUGGAAUCCUUCAAUUAUAUCCUGACGUCAAACCCCAAAGCAGCUAGACAGUGGCUGAGCCAAGAUUAGAAAUGGAGUGUUCUCUGCCCUGGUCCAGGACCCUCUCCGUGACUUCUCUGAAUUCAUU
RNAcentral lists this long non-coding RNA (1037 nucleotides) under Vulpes vulpes (red fox). RNAcentral's name for it is "lncRNA (ENSVVUG00000006760.1)". Lineage: Eukaryota; Metazoa; Chordata; Mammalia; Carnivora; Canidae. The record is from RNAcentral.